RNAcentral lists this ribosomal RNA (253 nucleotides) under uncultured bacterium. RNAcentral describes it as "partial 16S ribosomal RNA". It matches the Rfam family "Bacterial small subunit ribosomal RNA", at positions 524 to 776 of the family's 1533-position model. The record is from RNAcentral.
UACGGAGGGUGCGAGCGUUGUCCGGAAUCACUGGGCGUAAAGGGCGCGUAGGCGGCCUGAUAAGUAGGGGGUGAAAUCCUGCGGCUUAACCGCAGGGCUGCCUUCUAAACUGUCGGGCUUGAGCACAGUAGAGGCAGGUGGAAUUCACGGUGUAGCGGUGAAAUGCGCAGAUAUCAGGAGGAACACCGGUGGCGAAGGCGGAUCUCUGGGCCUUACCUGACGCUGAGGCGCGAAAGCUAGGGGAGCAAACAGG